RNAcentral lists this ribosomal RNA (406 nucleotides) under uncultured bacterium. Its description in RNAcentral is "partial 16S ribosomal RNA". It matches the Rfam family "Bacterial small subunit ribosomal RNA", at positions 30 to 526 of the family's 1533-position model. The record is from RNAcentral.
AUUGAACGCUGGCGGCAGGCCUAACACAUGCAAGUCGAACGAGUGGCGGGCGUGUGAGUAAUGUCUGGGAAACAGCCUGAUGGAGGGGGAUAACUACUGGAAACGGUAGCUAAUACCGCAUACCAUUCACUUUUCCCAGAUGGGAUGAUCUUGGUGGUGGGGUAACGGCUUACCAAGGCGACGAUCACUAGCUGGUCUGCGAGGAUGACCAGCCACAUUGGAACUGAGACACGGCCCAGACUCCUACGGGAGGCAGCAGUGGGGAAUAUUGCACAAUGGGCGCAAGCCUGAUGCAGCAAUGCCGCGUGUAUGAAGAAGGCCUUCGGGUUGUAAAGUACUGUCAGCGGGGAGGCGGUACCCUACGAAAAAGCACCGGCUAACUCCGUGCCAGCAGCCGCGGUAAUAC